GACGAACGCUGGCGGCGCGCUUAACACAUGCAAGUCGAACGGAAAGGCCUGCUUUCCCUUGUGGAUUGCGGGUACUCGAGUGGCGAACGGGUGAGUAACACGUGAGUGAUCUGCCCCCAACUUGGGUAUAAGCCUGGGAAACUGGGUCUAAUUCCCGAUAGGACUGCAGGGUGGUGCCUAUGGUGGAAAACGAUUUUCUAGUGGUUGGGGAUGAGCUCGCGGCCUAUCAGCUUGUUGGUGGGGUAAUGGCCUACCAAGGCGGCGACGGGUAGCCGGCCUGAGAGGGUGGACGGCCACAUUGGGACUGAGAUACGGCCCAGACUCCUACGGGAGGCAGCAGUGGGGAAUAUUGCACAAUGGGCGGAAGCCUGAUGCAGCGACGCCGCGUGGGGGAUGACGGCCUUCGGGUGGUAAACUCCUUUCGACCGCGAGGAAGCCACCUGGUUGGAAGGGUGGUGACGGUAGUGGUAGAAGAAGCACCGGCUAACUACGUG
RNAcentral lists this ribosomal RNA (494 nucleotides) under uncultured bacterium. RNAcentral describes it as "partial 16S ribosomal RNA". It matches the Rfam family "Bacterial small subunit ribosomal RNA", at positions 28 to 507 of the family's 1533-position model. The record is from RNAcentral.